UUUGUUCAUCUAGUGAAUUCAUUAACACAAAGGAGAAAUACAAUUUUGAGAUACAAUAGCCGGUUAAAAAUAAUAAUUCUCCGAAAAUAAACCGGCAGAAACUCACUUUUCCCCCGAAACAUAACCCUAAACAAGGGAAGCAAAGUGAACUAAACCACCAGAACUAAAGUGACAAAAUGGGGGUAUGAACAAGUUAACCCGAUACCCAGAAAUAAACAUCAAACCAACAAAACCUCUGACUCCAAGAAGAACAAAUUAAAUCGUACAUGCACCCAGAUAACCAACUAUUAAUAUUCCUCCUUAUAAAAGAUCGAUUGCAUCUCUCCACAAGGCCCAUAAAACAGAGGAUCAUGCCCAUCAAGUCGGCCCAUGACAUCAAUUGGCUAAGCAGCUCUAGACCAAACGCACGGGCUCGGCUUUGGACUACUUUACUCAGCUCCACAAAAUAAGUGCAUCAGCUCAGCUCAAAAGCCCGAUAGCUCAGCUCAAUUUCUCGGUCCGAAAAGAAUUAAGCCCAUUAGAGUGAAACGACCUAGGGCGAACACACUUGGCAGGUUUAUCUAUAUAAGGAAGAGAGGAUCGACAAGCGAGGGGAUCCAGAAUUUUACAAACACACUUGGCGGCUAGAAACUUGAAUUUUGCUCAUUGUAUUUCUUGCCGAUUUGUAGUUUCCCGGUUAGCUCACCGAGUAUCGGUCAUCUUUUCCGGCUAUUUCCGUACUUGUAAACCGUUACUCUUUUCCGAUCUGAUAAAACACCUUUGAACAAUCCACAAUCGAGUAAAGUCUGUUCGUACCGAGUUACAACUAAACUCAGAUCUAACACUCCCAACAACUUACCUUAUGGUUCCUUUAACCAAAACUGCAUGUCUAACUGUCCGGCAAGACAAAUCAUAAUCUUCCGGAAACGGUGGAUUCGAAAAUAUCGAUACAGACGCAC
This 938-nucleotide long non-coding RNA is filed under the name Brassica napus (rape). Its description in RNAcentral is "long non-coding RNA (BNAP_LNC026829)". The record is from RNAcentral. Lineage: Eukaryota; Viridiplantae; Streptophyta; Magnoliopsida; Brassicales; Brassicaceae.